Molecule: ribosomal RNA, 393 nt
Filed under: uncultured bacterium
Lineage: Bacteria
Description: partial 16S ribosomal RNA
Rfam family: Bacterial small subunit ribosomal RNA
Source: RNAcentral
AUACGGAAGGUCCGGGCGUUAUCCGGAUUUAUUGGGUUUAAAGGGAGCGCAGGCGGAGAUGCAAGCGUGACGUCAAAUUUCGGGGCUCAACCCCGUCUCGCGUCGCGAACUGCGUCCCUUGGUUGCGGGAAGGGGAGGCGGAACUCGUGGUGUAGCGGUGAAAGGCAUAGAUAUCACGAAGAACUCCGAUCGCGAAGGCAGCCUUCCGGCCCGUCAACGACGCUCAUGCUCGAAGGUGCGGGUAUCAAACAGGAUUAGAUACCCUGGUAGUCCGCACAGUAAACGAUGGACACCCGCGGUUUGGCCUAUAUGGCUGAGCCGCCAAGCGGAAGCGUUAAGUGUCCCACCUGGGGAGUACGCCGGCAACGGUGAAACUCAAAUGAAUUGGCGGGG